AAUCCGUUGUAGUCUAGUUGGUUAGGAUACUCGGCUCUCACCCGAGCGACCCGGGUUCAAGUCCCGGCAACGGAAGUAUAUUUUUUCACAUUUUCGCAUGAAAGGAAGAGAACCUUAUAGCAAUCCUAGACUCCGCCUCCGAUUCCAAACACACACCAGACGCCAACGAUGAUAGGAUUGGAUUUCUCGAAGCAGCUUGCAGCUCUUGUAUUGUAACGAAACUCUUACAACAAAGGAAUUUCCUUUCUUUUGUUUCCUUCAUUUUAGAGAUUUAGGAAUUGCAAUUAUCGUUACUGUUAUGGAAUUUGUGUUCUGUGAACCAAACUGUGCGAGGCGGUGUUUCAAAUUCCGAGGGCCGGGAAAUCCUUGGAAUUGAUUACUCAAAGUUUCCGUCUUCUAAAUGAGUUAGAUAACCGUUAUCCUGGCGUGUAUUUGUCGGAUAAAGAAGCAUCUCGGCCAGCGGAGGUAUUAAGUUCUUCUGCUUCUAUCCUGGCCUCGUCUCGCGAGAGCGGAGCUGGCGGUACUAGUAUCAUCAGACCGCUUAACUCACUGAAUGAUUGCAACGCUGGAUUACUUGUGUGCUGGAAUUUUAUUUUAUUUGAUUGGCUCUGCUAUUCACGGGGUUUGCUCAAAUGGCUAAUGAGGGAAACCUUCAAGCAUUAGAAAUGGGGUUUAAAUUAUAUCAAGCUUGGAACAUUCACUUUGGACACCCAAUGAGCGUUGUUCUUACGUGCUUUUACUGAGGAACAUGGUGCUGUUCCAAUAUCUUGUCAAUGCUCUUGAAGGAGAUUUUGUACGACGUAACAGGGUGCAUGGAGAAACCAUGAACUGGACCCGUCUAAGGGAGUUCUUGCUCCUUAUGGCUAUUGUUCUUAUUGAGUUUUGUACUUCGUUGUUUAUGAUGGUGUAUGGCCUUAAUUGAUUCGAUUUCAAGAAAAGCAAAACUACAGAGGCUUGAUGAAAGAUUGCUUGGGCGGCAUGUGUGGAUUAUUUGAAGUUUCUGCGGGAAUCAGUGAGAAUUUAGAACCUCCUGAUAAUUCUGCAGCAAAACUAUCUCACAAUGGCAAUACUGCUUCAGCGUUUGCAACCAGAGCUGAUGAUGGUGUGAGAUUUUAGUCACUGAACUCUGCCCCAGAAGAUAGGCAUUAAUCAUGACAAUAACCUUGAAACCGUCCGAAGCAUCAAAGUAAUGGAAUGGGCCUCAAAGUAAAAAGAAGCUGCACAAAAAGGGUAGGACAAGGAUAGAAAGUAGUCAUCACUGCUCCGAAUACUCCAUCUAAACAAAAACAAAGGGGAAUUCAGGAAGAUAAUGGAUAACACAAUGAAUUCUGAAGCAAUUUCAGUAUCAAGAACAUGGAAAAGAGUGAACUAGUUCUAGCAAAACACAUCUAUUGUUCAUGCAAUAAAUUUCAAACUGCAUGUAUUUCAUGAUUACGAGGGGACUUCUGUCCAC
Populus euphratica (Euphrates poplar) is the source of this 1453-nucleotide RNA transcript. RefSeq lists it as uncharacterized. NCBI's taxonomy places the organism in Eukaryota, Viridiplantae, Streptophyta, Magnoliopsida, Malpighiales, Salicaceae. The record is from RefSeq and is a predicted model, not a curated record. The transcript has 9 exons.